CCGGCGACCGGCGCACGGGUGAGUAACACGUAUGCAACCUGGCCGCCACAGGGGGAUAACCCGUGGAAACGCGGCCUAAUACCCCGUGACGCCACCGGAGGGCAUCCUCCGGUGGCCAAAGGAGCGAUCCGGUGGCGGAUGGGCAUGCGGCGCAUUAGCUAGACGGCGGGGUGACGGCCCACCGUGGCGACGAUGCGUAGGGGUUCUGAGAGGAAGGCCCCCCACACUGGGACUGAGACACGGCCCAGACUCCUACGGAAGGCAGCAG
Molecule: ribosomal RNA, 268 nt
Filed under: uncultured bacterium
Lineage: Bacteria
Description: partial 16S ribosomal RNA
Rfam family: Bacterial small subunit ribosomal RNA
Source: RNAcentral